RNAcentral lists this long non-coding RNA (372 nucleotides) under Ananas comosus (pineapple). RNAcentral's name for it is "long non-coding RNA (ACOM_LNC039307)". Lineage: Eukaryota; Viridiplantae; Streptophyta; Magnoliopsida; Poales; Bromeliaceae. The record is from RNAcentral.
UUCCGUCUGAUUUGUUUAAUUAAGUCGUAUCAUUUCGUAACUGCGAAGACGUCGUUGGGUUAAGUAAUUAACCGAUUGUUUGCGUUUCAGGAGCUAAUGGCACCGAAGAGACGCUACGUGCGUAGGGCUGCUCCGGCACCACCCCCAGGGGUGCCCGAGUCAGCUGUGCCCCCGGCGGCGCCAGAGCCAGCUGGGCCUAGUGAGGUGCAAGAAUUGCAGGCACAAGUUGCUGCGUUAGCAGGGAGGUUUGAUCGGCUCCAGGAGCUUAUGGAGCGUCAAGCGGCGGCUGCGGCAGUUGGCCAAGGCCACGUUCCACCUGCGCCUUCGGUUCGCGCCCCUGAUGCGGCCGAGGAUGUGGGUGAUGCGCCGGUU